RNAcentral lists this ribosomal RNA (576 nucleotides) under uncultured bacterium. Its description in RNAcentral is "bacterial SSU rRNA". It matches the Rfam family "Bacterial small subunit ribosomal RNA", at positions 912 to 1496 of the family's 1533-position model. The record is from RNAcentral.
GACGGGGGCCCGCACAAGCGGAGGAACAUGUGGUUUAAUUCGAUGAUACGCGAGGAACCUUACCCGGGCUCAAACGCGCAGAGACAGUUGCGGAAACGCAAUCUCCCCUCGGGGCCCUGUGCGAGGUGCUGCAUGGUUGUCGUCAGCUCGUGCCGUGAGGUGUCGGCUUAAGUGCCAUAACGAGCGCAACCCCCAUCUUCAGUUGCCACCGUGUGAUGGCGGGCACUCUGGAGAGACUGCCGGCGCAAGCUGUGAGGAAGGCGGGGAUGACGUCAAAUCAGCACGGCCCUUACGUCCGGGGCGACACACGUGUUACAAUGGCGGGGCACAGAAGGAAGCCAGGCGGCGACGCCGAGCCGAUCCCCAAAACCCGUCUCAGUUCGGAUCGGAGUCUGCAACCCGACUCCGUGAAGCUGGAUUCGCUAGUAAUCGCGCAUCAGCCAUGGCGCGGUGAAUACGUUCCCGGGCCUUGUACACACCGCCCGUCAAGCCAUGGAAGCCUGGAGUGCCUGAAGUGCGUGACCGCGAGGAGCGCCCAAGGGUAAGACAGGUGACUGGGGUUAAGUCGUAACAAGG